GAAUUCAACUCCUACGGGAGGCAGCAGUGGGGAAUUUUGCACAAUGGGGGAAACCCUGAUGCAGCGACGCCGCGUGAUUUAGAAGGCCUUCGGGUUGUAAAAAUCUUUUGUAUGGGAAGAAAAUGACAGUACCAUACGAAUAAGGACCGGCUAAUUACGUGCCAGCAGCCGCGGUAAUACGUAAGGUCCGAGCGUUGUCCGGAAUCAUUGGGCGUAAAGGGUACGUAGGCGGAUAAGCAAGUUAGAAGUUAAAUCCUAUAGCUCAACUAUAGCAAGCUUUUAAAACUGCUCAUCUUGAGGUAUGGAAGGGAAAGUGGAAUUCCUAGUGUAGCGGUGAAAUGCGCAGAUAUUAGGAGGAAUACCGGUGGCGAAGGCGACUUUCUGGCCAUAAACUGACGCUGAGGUACGAAAGCGUGGGUAGCAAACAGGAUUAGAAACCCUAGUAGUCCAGGCGUU
This 456-nucleotide ribosomal RNA is filed under the name uncultured bacterium. Its description in RNAcentral is "bacterial SSU rRNA". It matches the Rfam family "Bacterial small subunit ribosomal RNA", at positions 328 to 803 of the family's 1533-position model. The record is from RNAcentral.